CUAAGGUUUUCCCAUUACAGUCCCGCACGCAGCCCCUGCAAGCAGGAAAGCAGGACCAGAUGACAGCCGGUGAGACACAUCUGUCUGCCGGUGCUGUCUUGCUCUUGUCCUAAACUCAUUACCACUUUUUCUAUCUUGGGAGAAAAUCUAAUUUGGGCUGUUUUAAUCAGAUGUUUAGCCACUGUGACCAAAAGAUCUGACAAGAUCAACUAGAGGUGGAAAAGUUUAUAUUGGGACUCACAGUUUCUGAGGUCUUGGUCCUUGGACAGCUGACUUCGUUGCUCUGGCCAGAAGGUGAGGCACAAGAAAGCAGAAGAGCAUGGUGGAGGAAAGCAGCUCAGAGAAAACUCCCCAAACCACAGACAAAAUGCAAACCCCAAACCCUGUCCCCAGCGACCCACCCCCUCCAGCUACAGGACACCCACCUGCAGUUACCACCAGUUAAUCCCUAUGAGUGACCUAAUGUGCCAAUUGGGCUAAGGCUCUCCUAACCAAUCAUUUCACCUCUAACCUUUCUUGCAUUGUCUCACAGGUGAGCUUUUGGGGGACACCACAUAUCUAAACCAUCACAUGCGCCAUCAGGGUAUGAUACAUCAAGAGGGUCCUCCUCAAUCAGUCCCAGCCUCCAAAACCAUGAGUCCAACAUACUUCUGCUGUUCAUGAAUGACCCAGUCUCUGGUAUCCUGCUACAGAAGCAGAACCUGACACAGGCCUUCUAUCACUUGGCCACUUGAAGUCCUCUCAUAUUCAUCAUUUUGGAAAGUGAUUUUAGAUGUAAAACAACUCAUCACCUUGAUUAAAGCUCUUUUUCUUGGC
This is a long non-coding RNA of Ictidomys tridecemlineatus (thirteen-lined ground squirrel), 816 nucleotides long. RefSeq lists it as uncharacterized. Lineage: Eukaryota; Metazoa; Chordata; Mammalia; Rodentia; Sciuridae. The record is from RefSeq and is a predicted model, not a curated record.